This 21-nucleotide microRNA is filed under the name Medicago truncatula (barrel medic). Its description in RNAcentral is "mtr-miR2615b". Lineage: Eukaryota; Viridiplantae; Streptophyta; Magnoliopsida; Fabales; Fabaceae. The record is from miRBase by way of RNAcentral.
CCUGAUCGCAUUUUAAAAGGC